Molecule: long non-coding RNA, 5606 nt
Filed under: Brassica napus (rape)
Lineage: Eukaryota; Viridiplantae; Streptophyta; Magnoliopsida; Brassicales; Brassicaceae
Description: long non-coding RNA (BNAP_LNC009243)
Source: RNAcentral
UUGAUGCAGGAGUCACGAUAAGGACCUUAAGUAAGAUCAUUGAGUGAUCGGGGUUCAGCUGUCAAGCAAGAGAAAUUUGAGUCAAUGGAGGACCGAUGAGCAAAUAAGCUCCAUAGAUGUGGCAAAGGUAUGAUCUAGCAUUUACUUAUGUAGAUCUAAAUAGAAUGGUUUAGGGGAAUGGAACCUCAGAAUCGUAUGGCUUGGUUUGGGUUUAGGAUUGACCUUUAAGCUAAAUGGUAGUUGAGUAAACUGACCAAGGCUAAGGUGAUUCGACCAGACAAGUGUUAGAUUGGUUUUAGACCAAUGGUUAACUAGAGAAUAAUCCGCUGCGUAUCUGUUGAAAGGAUCUAAGCUAUUAAUGACUAAGGAAGUCUUUAGAUAAGGUUUAUGUUAGCCCUCGCCUUUAGGCGAUAUUAUAAAUAAAGGGCAAAAAUUAAGAGGUUCGGCCAGGAAGUGGACCGAGCGAUGUAAGGCUUCGACCACGGCCUUGUCGGCCGGAUCGGGGUAUUACAAGUUGGUAUCAGAGCAUGCUUGAUCCUGUUUAGGAAAACGCUCUAAGAUUAUGAGUUUCAUACCGAAAUUAUUUCCAAAACUAUGAUGACUAUGAAACCUUAGUUUGGGUGAGCCAAGAAAGAGUUGAGGAAAACUAGGGUAUCAUGCUUGUGAAUGUGGGAAUUCUAAGAUGAACCGGCUUAGCCAAGAUACGUUUUCCAAGGGCAAGAACCUAAAAACAGAAAGGUUGGUCGAUCUAGUAUUUAGAAGUACUAGACGGGUUGCAAGGGAUGGAAUCAAUGCAAGAUUUGUUUAUGGAUGUCCUGAAAAAGGGAAGUAACAUGGACCAGAGAGUGGCUUGGGUUGAAAUAAACGUGCAGCAUUCUACUGAAGUAAAGUGUUAUCCCUUGAUGGUCGUUCAUAAUAAGUAAAGCAUAUGCAAUAUUAAAAUCUGACUCAAGGGAGACACUACAUGACCAGUACACGAGUGGACUUCUGAUCAGAUGGAUCAGUUAGGACUCGGUAUAAGUCAAGGUAUGGGAAGUUUUCCAAAUAUGUGAUCGAACCGAAAUCCUACUCAUCUAGGUACCUAAUGGUAGUGGAAGUAUUAAGUGAUAGGCGACGUCAUGAGGGAUGUUAUGGGACGUUCUUUGUGGUGUGGUCAUGAACUGAGAUAUUUUCCACAAGUGGAUUUGUGGUGUGGAAACACACAUACUUUUCGACACAAAGGCUACACAUAGUUUUGUGAGUCCGGGACUGGUCGGAAAGAGUCUGUUCUGUCUGAGAUCUGGGUUGAUUCGAGACUAGUGAGGGCAGCCGAUGGGCAAAUAAUGCAUUCACUAGGGCUCAGGAAAAAUAUCCCGGUGAUGAUCCAGUAGAGAAAUCUGCCUGUAGAUCUGAUUGAGAAAAAUAUCCACGCGCGUACAGAAUCAUGAGAUGAUCCUAUGCAUGAAUCUGUUUGGGAAAGUAUCGGGCCACUCUCGAUUGCCACCAAGUUUGUGUGCAAUUGGAGACUGGACCUCACCCGAUCCAGUACCAAAGUCUGAGUCUGAGUCCGGCUCUAAGGAAAGAAGGGGUGUCAGCAGUCCAAGUGAAUCGGAUGCUUAGACAGGGUUGUGAAGUAUUUUUUUACCACAACUACAACUAUGGAGCACGGCAAUUCUGUUGAUCUGUCUGGGAUCUCGUUGGUAUCGAGAUCCAAUGUCUGAGUCCGGCUUUAAGGAAAGUAGUGGUGUCAGCAUUCAGUGUGGAUCGGAUACUUAGACGGGAUUGAGAAGUAUUUUUGACCAGAAUUACCACUAUGGAGCGCGGCAAAUUCUGUUGAUCUGAAAGAUCUGUCUGAGGAUCCGUUGGUGUCUAAGUUCCCAGAUGUGUUCCGCUCGCUACAGGGUGUCCCCCCUGAUAGGUCGGAUCCAUUAAUGAUUGAACUGGAACCAGGGGCAGCUCCGCUGUCCUAGAGUCUGUUUCUGAUGGCUCCUGCCGAGAUGGCCGAGCUGAAGUCGACCACGUCCGAGAGAGGACCAUGGUCACAGUACAACCAAGUCAGAGAUUGACCUAAGGUUGAGAAGAUAAUGAUCAAGUCCAGUAAGGGAUGAGGAUCAGGCCACGACCUAUUCGGAGAUGGACCUAUGGUCCGGGUGAAAUGGUCGAGUCCCUGAGUGGACCAGGACCGGAUUACGAUCACGUUUAUAAAUGGACCAGGAUCGAAUUAUGACAAAGUCCAGUGAAGGACAGAGGUCAAGUCUGAGGCGUUUUUAGUCUGGAGGGACUAAGAUCGCAAUGUGGCGAAGCCUGAAAAGCUUGUGGCUGGUUAAGGGGAUGAUCCAGUACGUUGUGGCUGAGGUCAUGAACCUUAUUGUCCAUAAAGGACAAAAGAACCAUAACAAUCUGUUAGGAGUCGUUGUAGGACGAGCAGCCUAAAGAUUGGAACGAGUUCAUGAGGACUUGACUGGUACAUCGAGUGGCGUGGGGAUUGGCCAAAUCUACUAAGGCUCGAGUAUGCAGCAAGUUCCUAGGGACUUGUUAUGAUCUAGUCGUGGACUAUGAUCAGAGAUAGAAUAAAAUCUGAAGAAGAUGAUAUUCAAAAGAAAGACAUAGACUUGUUGGAUACUAGGACCGCAACCUGGAGAGUUCGUCUAGUGACACAAGGAAUGUCUUUGGAUGGAAUUACAAGUAUCACUUGAAUAAAUGCUUGAUGGACCCUCCACUGUGGUCGAAGUACACCAGUAAGGGUGCCAUAAGCAAAACCAGAAGGAACCCUUGAUAGGAUUGUUUGUGGUUAAAUCCUUAUCAAGUAAGGGAGACUUGUACAACGAUGGUCAAAGGAAUUUGAUCAUCGAAGUGGUUUUUGUUGUUCUGAAUCAGGCUUGUUCUAUUCCCUUAUCAAGACUAGAAUAAGUUCGGUUGGAAUAUUUUGUCUUAAGACAAGGUAUAAUCAUCACCGGAUUCGAGGACGAAUCCAUUUCAAGUGGUGGAGACUUAUCAUGCCCCCAAUCCUGGAUAGGAUUGUCGGGACGGCCAUGGUUCGAGGGAAACGUACCAGCCGGUCUUAAGACCUUAAGGCUAUCGUUCCAUGGCCAAGAUAGAAGGUUAAGGACGUGAGGAUGCUGAGACUUAACCUUAUAAGAGAAAGAAGUCAGCUAGGAUAAGUUGUACAGAAGCUGGGCGAUGCUUACGAGAAGCUCGAUCAGCUAGACGUAGCUCGGUCAAGCUCAGCCUAGCUCGUUCCAAGUUAAAUCAGCUCAACUAGCUGGACUACUAUCUCACUCAGCUUAGGCAGCUGGGACUCAGCUCAUCUCAGCUCAUCUCAGCUCGACGGACUGUUCGAGUUUUGGGCCGAUGGUCCGGGUCCGGGUCAGUGGCGGGCGAUGAGGUCCGGCCAUGUAGUCCAUGAGUCGUUGGGCUCUUGUGGGCAGGCCGUGGGCUUGGGUACCAGGUCUUGGCUUGGGUUGGACGUGCCUAUAAGGUCUGAAACCUUCUAUUUCUGAACAGGUACGAUCUGGACCGUUGAUUGUAAUCGAUGGCCAAGAUCUGUCCCAAAAGGAUGCUUCGAAGGGAUGUGACUCUUCGCACAUGACCUUGGGUUCUCUAUAUAAAGGGUAGGACGUCCAGGGAUUAUGAAUUCAUUCUCAUUCAGUCUGAUACAAAGGACAUACGUCCUAAACAAAGGGAUCCCCCAAUGAGAAACGAGGAUCCAAGCCGGAAGGGCAUAAUCCGGGAUCAAAGCCAUAAGGGCACGAUCCGGUUCAUAGUGAGUAUGGCUUUAGCCAUAUGAGGCCGUGGCUUUUAUAAGUCACUAAGGCCAAUAGAAAGACCUAUUCCUGGAGGGAAAUAGGCGCCAAGGGUGGUUAGCCGAGAGACGGACUGACCGAUCGGUAAGGGCUAUAGCGGCUGUGAGUGGUUCUAUCUCUGUCUCUUUAUAUUAUUAUGUCUAUAUGAUAUAUAUAUAUAUAUAUAUAUAUAUGGAACGUGAUAGUUAACCAUAUUACCACGUUAUAGACCCUUGGUCAUGGUUGGUUACGUUGAUUGCUAACCAUAGCGGAUAGGUUGGAUCAAAAGGGUACUAGUCGCCAAAGGUUACGUGUUGCCAAGGGUCAUGAGUUACCAAAGGUUGUGAGAUACCAAAGGAUGCAAGUAACCAAAAGGUAAGAGAUACCAAGGGUUGCAAGUAUCAAAGGGUAUGAGGACCAAAGGGUACCAAUGACCAAAGGGUGCAUCGUGAUCCCAAGGAUGCAAUGUAUCGUGAUCCAAGAUCUGCGAUCAUGUCGUGAUCCAAGAGUUACGAACGUGUUGUGAUCCAAGAGGUACGAAAGUGUCGUGAUCCAAGAGGUACGAACGUGUCGUGAUCCAUCGGAUGUGAACGGUUCGUGACCGAAAGGGUACAAACGGGUCGGAACUGUAAGGGUACGAACAGAACGGGACCGAAAAGGGUACGAGUGGUUCGAUGGUCACAAGGACACCACAUGCAUUAUGUUGGGCGUGGACCCACAUGAUGGCAAUAGGUUGUCCUACAGGUCAAUACAUGAUUGUAAGGAAAUAGCGAAGGCCUUAAGGAUAGGGCAAUCCAUACAACAUGAUUGAUGUAUGAACCAUAAUCCAUGGUCAAUGGAUGGAUGGUUCUGGCCGCAAAGGCUAAGUGGGAUAUCUUACGAUCAACCUUGGGUUGGUAAGUAGGAUAGGCGCCAUAUGCCUCAUGUAGGGCGUAGACCCACAUGAUGGCAAUAGAAGGCCGGUUAUAUCAGUACAUACUAAGUGGACGAUGGCUUAUCAAGUCUAGUGGUCGUAUCAUGUUUCAUGACGAUGGUUUGAUGGACGAACACUAGUAUGGAUAGUCACGUUGCUGGAGUAAGGGCAUUGAUGUGAUGCUUCUAGAUAUCAACCUUGGUGUUAAUAGCUUCGAGAUUGGCUAAGAGUCAUGACGAAGUGUGUGGCUAGUACUAUGUGUCAUAGACCAUAGAUACUGAGCCUAAGUUUGAUUAUUCAAGGAAGGCCGUGUAAGAUCUGAUCAUGGUUGAGUAUCGACGACCUUACCUCUGAAUGAUGGUUUAAGGUGUCGGUCCUAACCUGAUUAAUGAAUGCAUCGGUUGGUAUGAAAAAAUCAUAUAUGUUGUCUGGGUUAAGUCCCAAGGCCGGUCAGGCCAGAUGAUGACUCAUCAGUUCCAAGUCAUGUGAGGAUGGUUGGUAGAUUGACUUAGGAUCUAAUGAGCUUUGUCAGUCCAGAAGAUGGACUUGGUACUAUUGCCUAUAAGGCAAAAGGAUUUCGGAUUGUGCAUGAGCCGAGAAAGGCCAGAUGCAAACCCUUAUCCUUUCAAAGACUUCUCAAAGGUUACUUAUGUCUGUGGGGAUGGUUGGUUGAAUGACUAAGUACCUAGGGGAGUUGUUUGAUGCAUGAGUCACGAUAAGGACCUUAAGUAAGUUCAUUAAGUGAUCGGGGUUCAGCUGUCAAGCAAGAGCAAUUUGAGUCAAUGGAGGAUCGAUGAGCUAAUAAGCUCCAGAGAUGUGACAAAGGUAUGAUCUAGCAUUUACUUAUGUAGAUCAAGAUAGAAUGGUUUAGGGGAAUGGAACCUCAGAAUCGUAUGGCUUGGUUUGGGUUUAGGAUUGACAUUUAAGCUAAU